UGUAGAGAGAGAUAAGGUUUUCCACAGGCCUCCUUUUCUGCAGGCUAAACACUCCUUGCUCCCUCAGGUCCUCCUCAUCAGACUGUGCUGCAGACCCUCCACGUCCUUCUUGUGAGCAAGGAGCCCAAAACUGAAUACAAAUGCAGCAAAUCAGAUUCAGAACCCAGUGCUUUAAGCAAAAUUAUGCUGUGCUUGGAGGCUGUGUGUUCACCAAAAGGAAUUAGAAGUAAGUGAUUGUUAUAUUGCUUCCCACAGUCAUUUAGUGUUGGUCUUCACUGUGGCCAUUUCCUGUUUCAGUAAAAUGUUAUUU
This 310-nucleotide long non-coding RNA is filed under the name Cyanistes caeruleus (blue tit). RNAcentral's name for it is "lncRNA (ENSCCEG00000011762.1)". The record is from RNAcentral. Lineage: Eukaryota; Metazoa; Chordata; Aves; Passeriformes; Paridae.